Molecule: non-coding RNA, 301 nt
Organism: Cucurbita pepo subsp. pepo (vegetable marrow)
Lineage: Eukaryota; Viridiplantae; Streptophyta; Magnoliopsida; Cucurbitales; Cucurbitaceae
Source: RefSeq, a predicted model, not a curated record
UUUUUGUUUGGAUUGAAGGCAUUUAUCAGUGGAAAAAAACAGGCUUUUAUAUGUUAAAUUAUACCCAGAGAUAUCGAGCUUAACAAGGGACAAUCCCCCAAUUGUAUCUUUCACCAUCCGAGUGGUUUCCUCUGCAGGAGGUCGGAAGGCUUGGACUCAUCCAGACAUAAUAGACAAACAGCUUAAGAACAACGACGAUUUUAUUUGGCCAAUUGAAGUUCCAUUAACAGGAAAGUUCAUCAUUGACAUCGAAUUCAUUGACUUGAAGAUUGCAUCGCCCGAGGGUGGGGAACCUUCCUCC